Non-coding RNA from Paramormyrops kingsleyae, 411 nucleotides. Lineage: Eukaryota; Metazoa; Chordata; Actinopteri; Osteoglossiformes; Mormyridae. The record is from RefSeq and is a predicted model, not a curated record.
GUCGAUGACAAAUGUAGCGCCGUCCUCUCGCCACGCCUCUUUUUAAAGUUGCCUUUAAAUUGGCGUUUUCCAAAGUCAGUACCAUGCUAAGUAAAAAGCAAUAGACGACAGGGUUGCAAUAAUGCGGGUGUUUCUGGCGGCUGUUGUUAUGGCUAAGUUGUAAAUUGUAUUUGGGUUUGGAUGUGAAAAACCAUGUCCUGUCUGCAGAGCUGGUGCCUGUCCAACAAAUGGGGGGAGGCUGCCAUCAACAUCAGGCUGUACCUGUGAUUGCGACUGUCCUGGCAAAUUGAAGUGCUGUGCAUAUGGAACUAUCCGUACAUGUGUGCAAUCUACUUCUGGAUAUCCAGGUCUAUGUCCCGUCAUUACGACGAGUGCCACAACGUGUAAGGUUGACGGAGAUUGUUCCAAGGG